Molecule: ribosomal RNA, 253 nt
Filed under: uncultured bacterium
Lineage: Bacteria
Description: partial 16S ribosomal RNA
Rfam family: Bacterial small subunit ribosomal RNA
Source: RNAcentral
CACGUAGGGGGCGAGCGUUGUCCGGAUUUAUUGGGCGUAAAGAGCUCGUAGGCGGUUUGUCGCGUCUGCUGUGAAAUCCCGAGGCUCAACCUCGGGUCUGCAGUGGGUACGGGCAGACUGGAGUGCGGUAGGGGAGAAUGGAAUUCCUGGUGUAGCGGUGAAAUGCGCAGAUAUCAGGAGGAACACCGAUGGCGAAGGCAGGUCUCUGGGCAUUAACUGACGCUGAGGAGCGAAAGCAUGGGGAGCGAACAGG